AACGAACGUUGGCGGCGUGGAUUAGGCAUGCAAGUCGAACGAAUCCCACGGGGGGUAACUCUCGUGGGGAAAGUGGCGAAAGGGGCAGUAAGGCGUGGGUAACCUGCCCCCGGGACGGGGAUAGCCCUCCUAACGGAGGGGUAAUACCCGGCGAGCUGGCCUUGAGGCAUCUUGAGGCCAGGAAAGGAGUUUCCCCUGGGGAGGGGCUCACGUGGUAUUACCUGGUUGGCGGGGUAACGGCCCACCAAGGGGAAGAUGCCUAGCGGGUGUGAGAGCACGACCCGCGCCACUGGCACUGGGACACUGGCCAGACUCCUACGGGAGGCUGCAGUCGAGGAUCUUCGGCAAUGGGCGCAAGCCUGACCGAGCGACGCCGCGUGUGCGAUGAAGGCCUUCGGGUUGUAAAGCACUGUCGAGGGGGAGAAAAGCCGCAAGGCUUGAUCUAUCCCUGGAGGAAGCACGGGCUAAGUUCGUGCCAGCCGCCGCAGUAACAC
This 494-nucleotide ribosomal RNA is filed under the name uncultured bacterium. Its description in RNAcentral is "bacterial SSU rRNA". It matches the Rfam family "Bacterial small subunit ribosomal RNA", at positions 28 to 526 of the family's 1533-position model. The record is from RNAcentral.